This 492-nucleotide ribosomal RNA is filed under the name Fusarium redolens. RNAcentral describes it as "eukaryotic LSU rRNA". The stretch from base 125 to 278 matches the Rfam family "5.8S ribosomal RNA". RNAcentral also lists the same sequence under 1 other name. The record is from RNAcentral. Lineage: Eukaryota; Fungi; Ascomycota; Sordariomycetes; Hypocreales; Nectriaceae.
UGUGACAUACCUUACUGUUGCCUCGGCGGAUCAGCCCGCUCCCGGUAAAACGGGACGGCCCGCCAGAGGACCCCUAAACUCUGUUUCUAUAUGUAACUUCUGAGUAAAACCAUAAAUAAAUCAAAACUUUCAACAACGGAUCUCUUGGUUCUGGCAUCGAUGAAGAACGCAGCAAAAUGCGAUAAGUAAUGUGAAUUGCAGAAUUCAGUGAAUCAUCGAAUCUUUGAACGCACAUUGCGCCCGCCAGUAUUCUGGCGGGCAUGCCUGUUCGAGCGUCAUUUCAACCCUCAAGCCCUCGGGUUUGGUGUUGGGGAUCGGCGAGCCUUUCUGGCAAGCCGGCCCCGAAAUCUAGUGGCGGUCUCGCUGCAGCCUCCAUUGCGUAGUAGUAAAACCCUCGCAACUGGAACGCGGCGCGGCCAAGCCGUUAAACCCCCAACUUCUGAAUGUUGACCUCGGAUCAGGUAGGAAUACCCGCUGAACUUAAGCAUAUCA